CAUUCUUCUACUGCUGUUUUUUAAAAAAAAAACUUUUAAACCCCCUCCCAUUUCAUUUCCUCUGCUAGGGUUAGAAGGCCUAGCCUUGUGCCGUCACCGGAUUUCCUCACCGCUUGCCAUGUUACCACUGUCUCGGUAGCCGACGACGCGUGAAGGCGGGCUUUUAGCCCUGUUUCGAGGCUUCCCUGAAGGCCAUGCCUUCUCGGGCUAAGAAGUGCACGAGAGAAAGGUCUUUCUCUUCCCCAUUCGAUGCGACCCUGACAACGGAAGAGGGACCUCCGGCGAUGAACUUUGGUCGAUUCCCCGGUGAGACCCUCUUCCCUUUUCUCUUUACGCUUUUAGGUCUACUUUAUUUAAUAGAUUUGCAAGUGAGAAUAAAAAGAAAUUACAAAAGAAAUUAACAAUGAAAUGAAAAACAAAGAGAAUAGAUCGGAAAUCAACCAUUUUUAUGUGUUUUUCUUUUGAUUUCGAUUGCUAAAAAUUCGUAAAAAAAAACAAAGGAAACGAAAGUUGCUUUUAUAGCCGAAUACAUAUGCUUGUUCUCAUUCUAUUUUGUCUGUUUCUUCCUUGUUUUUUUUUUGCUUUGUUAUUUUGCUAUAUUUUUGUCCUUUUGUUCGUUGUUUUCUCUUAUUUGUGUGUUGGACUUCGUUGUUACAGGUGACAUGGGCGGUCAGACGCGUGCGAGAAGGUUGCCGGUGGUGGUGGUGGCCAUUGGUGAGGAGUGCGCCGGCUGAAACUGAAGGAGGCUAGGGUUAGGGUGUGUUGCUGAAAUGUUUUGGGUAGUUGGGCUUUAGAGUUUUGAUAAUUUGGGCUAGUUUGGUUUAGUAGUGGGCUGAUGGGGUUUGGGUAGUUUAUAAUUUGGGCUAGGUGACUCUUGGAAUUUAUUUUUAUUUAUUGUAUUUGGUGUUUUAUUUUGGUUUGUUGGAAUGGGCCAAAAUUGGCUGCUACAAGUGCGAUAUGUGUUUAGAGGAAUCUUAGUACUUUGAAGGUGACAGAAAUUGUGACUUGUUUCUGAAUUUGUUGAAAAUGGUUUUUACCCCAUGAAGUGGUGGUAGGAAAUAUAGCCUUAGAGGAAGGAAAGAUUGCGAAAUUGGAAUUAGCUGAGGAGACAAAACAAGACCUUGUUGAGACUAUUAUGGGAAUUCAAAAAUGUGGUCCAAAGACGCAUACAUGAGGAUUUGCAAUUGCCAGGAUAAACAUGAGGUUUUGGGGCACUGUUGGUCCACCAUGGAAAGAGAUCGCAUCAGUUGUACAAUGAAUGCCAAAUUUAAAGGAGCUAAGACUUAUGGGGCAUGUAUGUUAUGGGCCCGAGCUCGUCAAAAGUUUCAAGUUGACAAUGACUCAUCUUUGUGGACGUCAACUACUCCAUUAAGAGGGGGAGAUAGCUUCAUAUGCAAAUAUUACAAAGUCAAAAGUCAUCCAUUUCAAAAAAAAAGAAAAAGAAAAAGAAGAAGAUUAUAUAUAAUUGCAUAAUGCCAAAAGUUUGCAAUCUUUUCAAAGAUAAUGCGCGAUACCACAGUACAACAAAGGUUGCCAAAAGAAAAGAAAAAAGAAGAAAAAAAACAAAUUACAGAAAAUGACCGAGACUGGUAAAAAUUGGCAUAAGAAACUAUCGCCCACUUUCUAUGCUUACGCUGGGGCAAACACCUUCAAUUCCAGUUGUUUCAAAGGUUCCAACCAUCAUCCUUGGAAUGGGUGCAUUGUUUGGCUUUCCUGAGCAGUCUGAUGUGCCGUCAACAGCUGCGAUGGUUAGCUCCAGGUGGUGGCCAUUG
RNAcentral lists this long non-coding RNA (1772 nucleotides) under Gossypium barbadense (sea-island cotton). Its description in RNAcentral is "long non-coding RNA (GBAR_LNC000581)". The record is from RNAcentral. Lineage: Eukaryota; Viridiplantae; Streptophyta; Magnoliopsida; Malvales; Malvaceae.